GACAGAGGGUGCAAACGUUGCUCGGAAUUACUGGGCGUAAAGAGCGUGUAGGCGGUCUGGUAGGUCCGUUGUGAAAACUCGAGGCUCAACCUCGAGACGCCGAUGGAAACCAUCAGACUAGAGUCCGGAAGAGGAGAGUGGAAUUCCUGGUGUAGCGGUGAAAUGCGCAGAUAUCAGGAAGAACACCCGUGGCUAAGGCGGCUCUCUAGUACGGUACUGACGCUGAGACGCGAAAGCGUGGGGAGCGAACAGG
This 253-nucleotide ribosomal RNA is filed under the name uncultured bacterium. RNAcentral describes it as "partial 16S ribosomal RNA". It matches the Rfam family "Bacterial small subunit ribosomal RNA", at positions 524 to 776 of the family's 1533-position model. The record is from RNAcentral.